GGGAAACGCCAAAUUUGCAGGUAUUACAAUAGUAUUUGUCAUGGUCUUACAGGCUAACAAAUCUCUCCUCUCUGUGUGUGAGGCUUGGGUGUGAAUGAAUGAUAUGGCACUUAUUUUCACACCGUAUUUGCUAUAUUUUGAUCAAAUCUGAUAGACCGUGCUCUCAGUGACUGACUUCAAUUUGCAGGAUCAGAAAUCUGUAAUUACCUGACUUCGAUCCUCUUAGGGUUCUUAAAGAUUAUGCUGCACGCAGUCUAUACUACACACAGCAGCCUCUCUCUCUCUCUUUCGCUCUCUCUCUCUCUUUCGCUCUGUUUCUCUGUCUCUAUCUCUCUCUCUCUCCAUAGAGGGAGUAGUGUGUUUGUGAGAUUAGAAUACUUUUCUUUCAUUUCAAAGGGCCAAUUCUAUUACUGUAAAAUAGGUUUUGUAAAUAAGAGGCUGUAUCAUGCAAGUUACAUUCGCUACAGUUGUUCCAUUAUACUCUGUUAUGUUUAGGGGAUUCGAUUAUUUUCUAGGGCUGGGGUGUCAAACUCAUUCCAUGGAGGGCCUAGUGACUGCAGGUUUGAGUUUUUUCCUUUCAGUUAAUAAGCCCUAAACAACCAGGUGUGGGGUGUUCCUUACUAAUUAGUCACCUUAAUUCAUCAAUCAAGUACAAGGGAGGAGUGGAAACCCACAGACACUUGGCCUUCCUUGGAAUGAGUUUGAUACCUGUGUUCUAGGGCUUCCAUUCAACAGUUCUAUGUUCUAAAUUCUAUCACAGUAAUUGAAAGCUACAUGUUCACAUGUUUACAGCUUUUGCUUGGUUUAUGGAUAGUCUAAUACAAUUGGUAUUCUAGUCGCAGAGUAUAGUGUAUACCCAACUGAUAUUUCAGCGUUCCAAUUGCAGGAGUACAUGCAGACCGAUAUAUUUAUUGAACACUAAGUUGGUUUUAAUAUUGAUACUGAACAAAAAUUAGGAUUGGGGGAAAUAUUUUGCAUUGCUAUGUCAAAGGUGGAGGAAUACAUGCUUUAUUAAAUCCCCCUAAAACGUAAUGUUAAUUUCCUCCUUUUCAUUACGAAUUAAAGUUUAGGAGUUUUAGGAUUGGUUAAUGAGCGCAUUGAAAACCCUUAGCAAGGACAUUAUCAUCUAGAGCUCUUCUUCUCUCCCAUAGAACUAUCCUCUGGUUAAUGGGGUCACCCGUAAUUAUCAUGCCAUUAAUAUAACGCCGUGCCCCUUCCUGUGACUCCAGAUAAAGAGAGAAGAUGGAAGCAAGCAGCAAUCCAACAAAAUGAUUUGAAAGGUUCUUAACAGAGGACAAAGUUGUUGUCUCUCUCUUUCUCUCUUUCUUUCUCACUCUCUCUUCACCUGAGGCCCCUGUUCUCUAUUCUAAGUGGACAACAUUAUCAUGCAAGCGAGCAUCGCCCUUAGGAUGCCAAGGGAUCUAAUCAGGGCCAGGUAAAGACCUGUCAAAGUGGGAGGAAGACAGGGAGGUAGUGACAGCCGGAGGAGAUUGUAUUGAUUUUCAGUUCACCACAUCCCUCUACGUGUUUAAUGUACACAAAGCUCCUGUAUUAUGCAGUAGGAAACAAAUGGCAGCGAAGAGACGUGCGAAGGCAAUAAACAACACUGUCUCACAGGUAUACCCAAUAAAUUAAAAGUGCUAACCCAACAUGAAUUGAAAGUGGUAGAUGUAUGAAUGUAUGUCAGGAAUCAACCCCCAGCACCAUCUUCACCAUCACCAUCAAAUUUUCACACCCCGUGCGAGAUACACCUCUUGUGUAUCUGCUGAAGGAAAAUGAUAACACCAGGACGUUUACAAUCAUGUGGUUUCCCUCCACGGAUAACGUGUAAAUAUGAAUGAGCUGGUUUGGAUGUAGCCGACCCAGUUGAUUAAACAAAUAGCAGAUGCUCCAUUGAUAUGAUCACUUUUAACUCAUUAUCUAUUUUUGAUCUAUUAUCUCCAUUAUUUGUAAAUGUAUUUGUCAAACGCUCUAUUUAUGGCAGAGGGAAGGAUAAUUAUGGGUUGUAUAUGCUAUAUACUGUAUAAUUAUACAAUAUUUUAUUGUACUAUAUUAAUAUAUAUGAUUUACAACUCUCCUGAUUUGGUUCACAAACGUUAAUGUCUCUGACACCGUAGUAGUAUAACGUUUAACCAAUCAUAGUAUAACACACAAUUCCCAGAAAGGAUUUCUCUUUAGCACAGCGCCUGCUUUUCUCGCCAGUGAACCCAUCGAGGAGCAGUGUAGCAGAAUAAACGGCUGUAACUCCAACUAAUGUCCUUGAGCUGCUCGGAGAGAGACCUCUGGUCUAUAAACAUGGGAUCCACGGCAGCUCACAAGGAAAGCACGCCGCAGUGCGAAGGAAACCUGUCAACUAAAAUCAAGACGUUGCAUUCCCAGCUCCUGUUCCAGCUGUAUAGCACCACAGAAUGGAAUGCCCUUUAAAGUUCCACUAGAUUCUGUUGAUUGGGAAAGUAAGAAGGGAAAAUUACAUGCUAUGAUUUCAGGCCAUAUGGUGAAUAUGAUUUGCUGUUAAAUUUCCGAUAUUUUGUUUAGCCAAUUUUAAGUUAGUAGUCUUGGUAGAGCAUGGCACUUGCAAUGGCAGGGUGGUGGGCUCCAUUCCCACGGGGAACCAUUAUGAAAAUGUAUGCGCUCUGGAUAAGAGUGUCUGCUAAAUAACGUACAUUUAAAAUGUAGUUCAUGAAUGGUACUCUUAGACCUACGAUUGAUUGAGAGAUAGGUGUGUGAGUACCCUCACCAAGGCUUACAUGUACCCACUGAAAAUGUCUGGGGAGUUCAGCACACAGUGUAAGGAUAUGCAGCUUGGGAGCUUUGUUGACUUUGUCACACUGCAGUAUGACAGAAAUGGCCUACAAUUCACAUGGAGGAGGCUGGUGGGAGGAGCUAUAGGUGGACAGGCUCAUUGUAAUGGCUGGAAUGGAAUCAAUGGAACGGAGUCAUUACAUUCCAGCAAUUACAAUGAGCCAGUCCUCCUAUAGCUCCUCCCACCAGCCUCCUCUGAAUUCACAGUAUUCAUUGAAAAAUCUGUGACCAUAUUUCCCCCAGCAAAUGUUUUAAAAUCUUAAAUGUUCUACAAUCAUAACCAUACAAAGCCUACAUGCCUGUAUGUAAUAACUAUAAUCACUAAUAUCCUUUCCCACAAUUCUUUCAGUUCAGCAUAAAUACCACUCACUGAUAAAGAGGCAUUACCCCUCUCUGAGGGUGUCUCAGGGGGAGUGGGAUAUGCUAGACACAUAUUUCCAUUUCACACCACACACUUGUACAGGUUACAUAUUUGUACAUGUUGUCACACCCUAAUCUGUUUCACCUGUCUUGUGCUUGUCUCCAGGUGUCUCCGAUUUUCCCCCAUUAUCCCCUGUGUACUUGUCUUUUCAAGUCUUACCAGCUUGUUUUCACGUUUUCCAGUAUCUCUAGUUUAUGUUUUCAAGUCUUCCCAGUUCUGAUCAUUCUGCCUGCCCUGAGCCUUCCUGCCGUUCUGCCCUUGAUAAACGCUGCCUUGGAUUACUGACCACUGCCUGCCCUUGACCUGCCAUUUGCCUGCCCCCUGUUUUGUAAUAAACAUCUGAGAUUCUAAAUGUCUGCUGCCUGUGUUUGCAUCUGGGUCUUAUUCUGUGUUGUGUUAGCAUGACUGACCCAGCAGACUCGGACCAGCUCCGCAACACUGUCACCAUCGGAAGACACGAGGAGUUACUUAGAAAUCUUAUGGAAGCAUUCCAGAUCUUAGUAGCGCGUUUGGGUAGUGGCUGGUUACAGUACUGUGAGACUCAGGUGCGUGCCCGCGUCGACCGAAUGCUUUGUUUUCUUUCCUCUGUUUACCUAAAUGCAGAUUCCCGGUCGGAAUAUUAUCGCUUUUUUACGAGAAAAAUGGCAUAAAUAUUGAUUUUAAACAGCGGUUGACAUGCUUCGAAGUACAGUAAUGGAAUAUUUAGAAAUCUUUUGUCACGAAUUGCGCCAUGCUCGUAACCCUUAUUUACACUUCGGAUAGUGUCUAGAACGCACGAACAAAACGCCGCUAUUUGGAUAUAACGAUGGAUUAUUUUGGACCAAACCAACAUUUGUUAUUGAAGUAGCUGUCCUGGGAGUGCAUUCUGACGAAGACAACAAAGGUAAUCAAACUUUUGUAAUAGUAAAUCGGAGUUUGGUCAGGGCUAAACUUGGUCGGUGUCUAAAUGGCUAGCCGUGAUGGCUGGGCUAUCUACUGAGAAUAUUGCAAAAUGUGCUUUCACCGAAAAGCUAUUUUAAAAUCGGACAUAUCGAGUGCAUAGAGGAGUUCUGUAUCUAUAAUUCUUAAAAUAAUUGUUAUGUUUUUUGUGAACGUUUAUCGUGAGUAAUUUAGUAAAUUCACCGGAUGUUUGCGGGGGGUAUGCUAGUCCUGAACGUCACAUGCUAAUGUAAAAAAGCUGGUUUUUGAUAUAAAUAUGAACUUGAUUGAACAAAACAUGCAUACAUUGUAUAACAUAAUGUCCUAGGUGUGUCAUCUGAUGAAGAUCAUCAAAUGUUAGUGCUGCAUUUAGCUGUGGUUUUGUUUUUUGUGACAUUAUAUGCUAGCUUGAAAAAUGGGUGUCUGAUUAUUUCUGGCUGGGUACUCUGCUGACAUAAUAUAAUGUUUUGCUUUCGCUGUAAAGCCUUUUUGAAAUCGGACAGUGUGGUUAGAUUAACCUGUUAUGGCUAGGGGGCAGUAUUUUCACGGCUGGAUAAAAAACGUACCCGAUUUAAUCUGGUUACUACUCCUGCCCAGUAACUAGAAUAUGCAUAUAAUUAUUGGCUUUGGAUAGAAAACACCCUAAAGUUUCUAAAACUGUUUGAAUGAUGUCUGUGAGUUAACAGAACUCAUAUGGCAGGCAAAAACCUUAGAAGAUUUCAUGCAGGAAGUGGCCUGUCUGACAAGGUGUCGUUCUUCUUGUCUCUGUUUAUUGAAGAGUGAGGAUCUUAGCUGUCCCGUGACACUUCCUACGGCUGCCAUAGGGUCUCAGAAGGCGGUAAAAAGCUGAAUCGUGGCUUUGCAGGCUCUGGCUGAAAAAAAGUAGCGCGUUUGGGUAGUGGCUGGUUACAGUACUGUGAGACUCAGGCUCGUGCCCGCGUCGACCGAAAGCUUUGUUUACUUUCCUCUGUUUAGCUAAAUGGACAUUCCCGGUCGGAAUAUUAUCGCUUUUUUACGAGAAAAAUGGCAUAAAAAUGGAUUUUAAACAGCGGUUGACAUGCUUCGAAGUACGGUAAUGGAAUAUUUAGAUUUUUUUUGUCACGAAUUGCGCCAUGCGCACGACCCUUAUUUACCAUUUAGGAUAGUGUCUGGGACGCACGAACAAAACGCCGCUAUUCGGAUAUAACGAUGGAUUAUUUUGGACCAAACCAACAUUUGUUAUUGAAGUAGAAGUCCUGGGAGUGCAUUCUGACGAAGACAACAAAAGGUAAUCUAACUUUUAUAAUAGUAAAUCUGAUAUUGGUGAGUGCUAAACUUGCCGGGUGUCUAAAUAGCUACCCCGUGAUGGCUGGGCAAUGUACUUAGAAUAUUGCAAAAUGUGCUUUCACCAAAAAGCUAUUUUAAAAUCGGACAUAUCGAGUGCAUAGAGGAGUUCUGUAUCUAUAAUUCUUAAAAUAAUUGUUAUGCUUUUUGUGAACGUUUAUCGUGAGAAAUUUAGUAAAUUGUUAGCAAAUUCCUCCGGAAGUUUGCGGGGGGGUAUGCUAGUUCUGAACGUCACAUGCUAAUGUAAAAAGCUGUUUUUUGAUAUUAAUAUGAACUUGAUUGAACAAAACAUGCAUGUAUUGUAUAACAUAAUGUCCUAGGUGUGUCAUCUGAUGAAGAUCAUCAAAGGUUAGUGCUGCAUUUAGCUGUCUUCUGGGUUUUUGUGACAUUAUAUGCUAGCUUGAAAAACGGGUGUCUGAUUAUUUCUGGCUUGGUACUCUGCUGACAUAAUCUAAUGUUUUGCUUUCGCUGUAAAGCCUUUUUGAAAUCGGACAGUGUGGUUAGAUAAAGGAGAGUCUUGUCUUUAAAAUGCUGUGAAAUAGUCAUAUGUUUGAAAAAUUGAAGUUUUUGUAUUUUUGAGGAAUUUGUAAUUCGCGCCACGCCUAUCAUUGGAUAUUGGAGCAGGUGUUCCGCUAGCGGAACGUCUAGAUGUAAGAGGUUAACGAGAGUCUUGUCUUUAAAAUGCUGUAAAAUAGUAAUAUGUUUGAAAAAUUGAAGUUUUCGGAUUUUAGAGGAGUUUGUAUUUCGCGCCACGCCCAUCAUUGGAUAUUGGAGCAGGUGUUCCGCUAGCGGAACGUCUAGAUGUAAGAGGUUUAAAGAAGAGCUCUCAGCCCAGUAGCUGCCCCAUGCAUUUCGAUUCUCAUUGCCUUGACCAUACGGAUCGAUGGGCGUCUACGGGAAUGUAGGAGGGAGAGGAGGUCUGUUCCCAGUCACACUCGCUCGUCCAAGGAUCCCACCUCGCCUCCGAGGAAUCCCGGAAGUCCCCAGCAUCUACAUUACCGAGAUAAUCCGAGGUUCCCCAAGUUCCCCCGACUCGCCUCCUCCGGAGCCUAUGGAACUUGGCAGAGCUAGAUUGCCUCCUGUCGAACGUUUAUGCUGACUGGACAACAAGAGCUGUCUGUAUUGUGGAACUACAGGUCAUUACAUUUCUACCUGUCCAUUAAAAGACCAGGCUCAUCAGUAGGUACAAGUACGCUGGUGGGCAAUGGGGAGAUUUCCAAUUUCCCAUUACGCGUACCCCUCUCCAUGCCAUCCAGCUGUGGGGUGACAGGUCAAAAUCUCUCCGGGUACUCAUUGACUCUGGGGCUGACAAGAGUUUUAUGGACACUACCUGGUGUCAGAGAUGGGAAUACCAACUCAACCCCUCUUCAUUCUCAUGGACGUCAGAGCGCUGGAUGGGCGCUCUAUUGGCAGUGUCACCCACAAUACGGUUCCUAUCAACAUGCGAGUGUCAGGGAACCACUGUGAGUCUAUGCAGUUUUUGUUCAUCGAAUCUCCUCAGGUACCCGUGGUUUUGAGGUUUUCAUGGUGGAAAGGUACAUCUGCCUCCCCCGCCGUGUAUCCACUACUGUGGCCUUAACUGGAUGUUUGUCCCAGACUCUUCUUGGUUCCCCGGUCCUGGAAUGGGCUCAUUCCUCUUGACUUGCCUAUCAUCCUGGCUUCCGUCAGACCCUGGCCCUUGUACAACAACAUUGUUGGGGGCCCACCAUGGUUUCUGAUGUUUCCGCAUUCAUCGCCGCCUGCACUGUGUGUGCUCAGAAUAAGACUUCGCAGCAAGCUACGGCUGGCCUCCUUCAACCACUCCCUGUUCCUCACCGUCCCUGGUCCCAUAUAUCACCCUCCCAUAUAUCACCCUCAAACAGUUGGCAAGACCACUAUCCCUAUGGUGGUGGAUAGGUUUUCCAAAGCCGCCAAUUUCAUUCCCCUUCCCAAGUUGCCCUUAGCCAAGGAGAUUCUUAGCCCCUUUGCUGUUCUUCUGUUGCCACACACCCUUCGUAUACAUUCCACUUUUCAUGUGUCUAGGAUUAAACCUAUGUCUCACAGGCCUUUGUCUCCCACCCCUCUCCCGCGUCUCAUCGGUGGCCAUCCGGUGGACACGGUGUGGCGCCUCCUGAGUGUUCGACCUCAGGGCAGGGGAUUCCAGUACCUGGUUGACUGGGAGGGUUAUGGCCCAGAAAAAAGGUGCUGGGUCCCCACUAGGAACAUCCUGGACCCAACCCUCAUCGCUGAGUCCAGCUGCCCGGCACCUCUGUCAACCAGUCUUCCCGGUUCUGACCAUUCUGCCUACCCUGAGUCUGCCUACCGUUCUGCCCGUGAUUGACGCUGCCUUGGAUUACUGACCUCUGCCUGCCCUUGACCUGCCGUUUGCCUGCCCCUUGUUUUGUAAUAAACAUCUGAGAUUCGAACUGUCUGCCUCCUGUGUCUGCAUUUUG
This 7896-nucleotide long non-coding RNA is filed under the name Salmo salar (Atlantic salmon). RNAcentral describes it as "lncRNA (ENSSSAG00000117650.1)". Lineage: Eukaryota; Metazoa; Chordata; Actinopteri; Salmoniformes; Salmonidae. The record is from RNAcentral.